AAUCAAGUGCCUUAAGGGUGUUCGGUGGAUGCCUUGGCGCUGAGAGGCGAUGAAGGACGUGCUACGCUGCGAUAAGCCGUGGGGAGCUGCGAAGAAGCUUUGAUCCAUGGAUUUCCGAAUGGGGAAACCCACCUUCGAUAGCCGGAACUCCAAGACCUUUGUCGAAAGACAUCGGUGUGGGGUUCGAUCAGAUAAUGUGAGAAGCCGGACCUUUAGAUUUCGAUCGAAGAGUUUUGGAUUUCCGGUUAUCAAGAGAAGGUAUGAGACUUCUGAAUACAUAGGAGGUUUCAAGCAAACCCAGGGAACUGAAACAUCUAAGUACCUGGAGGAAAGGACAUCAACAGAGACUCCCGUUAGUAGUGGCGAGCGAACGCGGACCAGGCCAGUGAUACAUCAAAGACAAUCGGAACCAGUCAGGAAAGCUGGGCCU
RNAcentral lists this ribosomal RNA (430 nucleotides) under Bradyrhizobium japonicum. RNAcentral describes it as "bacterial LSU rRNA". It matches the Rfam family "Bacterial large subunit ribosomal RNA", at positions 1 to 357 of the family's 2925-position model. The record is from RNAcentral. Lineage: Bacteria; Pseudomonadati; Pseudomonadota; Alphaproteobacteria; Hyphomicrobiales; Nitrobacteraceae.